This is a long non-coding RNA of Erinaceus europaeus (western European hedgehog), 3257 nucleotides long. RefSeq lists it as uncharacterized. The record is from RefSeq and is a predicted model, not a curated record. The transcript is spliced from 2 exons. NCBI's taxonomy places the organism in Eukaryota, Metazoa, Chordata, Mammalia, Eulipotyphla, Erinaceidae.
AAGUCUUUGAAAUCUACCUGCUAGGUUUUGCAUUUAUAGCAGACUUUAAUUCAGUAUAGACAUAUUUCAGAUGCUCAGUAAGCCACAUGCUGUUGCUACCAUAAUGGGUAGUAUAGGUCGGGGGUGGGGGCAUGUGUGACAGCGGAAGUACAAUAAGAAGCCAGUUUAUGAAGAUUAAUGCCAGGCAUCUGAAACUAUUUAUAACUCUAUGAGAAGAACAAGUUGGAAUUGCAGGAGAGAGGCUCAUGUUGAUGUGGGACUUAUUUCAGUGUCUGUGGCUUUAGCCUUUCACAGAGGAAUAUUUGCUGACCCUGACCUCAUCCAUUCUUAGAAACAUCUGUGGGUUCCUGAGGGAUUGUUCUUGUUUUCUUACAGUUAUGGAUUGGGACAAGAUUUCUGAGUAAAAUCAACACUUCAUCUACAUAACAUCUUGAUUUUUGACCAGAUCUUCCCCAAAUGGCAACUUUUCACUUUCAUUUGGAUUUUAACUUUUAUCCUCAAGACCUUUAAUUGAAUUACUAGUGUAAGUGUGAAAUAAUUAUGAACAACUCAUUAUAACUGUAUUUUCCCCUAAAAAAAUCCUUUAUUUUGUCAAAUCUUUAGAUUCUCUUUAAUUUGGCACAGUCCUCGUAGUUUAUUAAGUUAUAAUUGACUCAACAAUUCUAUAUGUGCCUGAAUCCUUGCAGAAGCUGACAUUUAGUAACUUCAAGGCAGUCCCAUGUGAUACAUGCAGCAGCAUGCAAAGCCUGCCUGCCAUUAUUCCAUAUAUUUCAAAGGGCAAUGGAGUCAGCCUUGCAGAGAGUUUACUUAUCUAUGUCUAUCUUUCUGUCUGUUUCUAUCUACUUGCCUGUGUUUUGUCUGUCUACCUGUAUCUGUGUCUAUAUAGCUAUCAGCUACCUCCCUCUCUGUCCGUCAUUUAUAUAUCUACCACCAACUUCCCUCUCUACCAAUCAUUUAUAUAUUGGUCUACCUGCCUACCUACCUGUCUAUAUUUGGCAUCCACUGUGUGUCUUUAAAGGUUCAUAAAAAGUAUAUCAAAGUCAGGAAGUUUUUUUUUUAGAUUUGUAGGCCAAGAGAAGUAUACUAUUUUCUCUGUCUUUUUAUACUGUUCCAGAAAUUGAACCCAGGGCCUUACCUAUACAAAUCAGCUUUUCUACUGCUGAGCCAUCUUUGUGGCUACAAGUAUACCAUUUUGAAAGGGUAGCCAGGAAAACCUCAGCACAUACUGGUUCCAUUUUCAUAGCAUACUGAGUCUCAGGGUAGAGGUGAAUGGAUACCUAAUUCUCUGUCUGUAUCCAGCUUAAAUUAUUUGGGAUUCCUUUUAGCUUAUUUAGUUCUGUAUCCAGAUAAACCUCAGAUAGCCUCCCAAAUCUGAUAUUAGUAAGAACCCGUUUUUGAACUAUAUGUUUGUGAACCUUAUGUUUGUGCGUGGCUUCUAUGUUACAGAAAUAAUUUUUUUCUCAUUUUGUGUGAACUGUGUUCCAAGAAUGUAGGAUCUAAGUAGUCUGUUAUUGUUAGUGUUCAGAAUUUAGUAAUCCUUGAUGAGCAUCAGUGGAAUAGAUUUGAUCACUGUUUCCUCUCUUUUAAGUAUAAUACUCUUUCUUAUCAUAGCCACAUGGAAGAAAACUCAGUAAACAGUCUAGUAAUAGUAAACACUACUCAGUAAUAUGUUUUCUUAUUUAUUGAUUUAUUUAUUUACCACUAGGGUUAUUGUUGGGACUUGGUGCUGGCACUAUAAAUCUACUGCUUUCAGCAGCCAUUUUUUCCUUCUCCUCCUCCUCCUUCUUCCCCUCACCACCUCCUCUUCCUCUUCCUUUUUCUCCUCUUCCUCAUCCUUCUUUUUUUCUUUAUAUUAUAUUUGAUAAGACAAAGAGAAAUUGAGAGGGGGAAGAAGAGAGAGAAAGACACCUUCAGACAUGCUUCACUGCCCAUGAAGCUUCUACCCUGAAGGUGGGGAGCAGAGGCUUGAACCUGGGUCCUUGUACAUGGUAAUAUGUGUGCUCCAUCAUAAGUUUUCUUCAACUCUCUUUAUCUUAAUUAAAAAUUUUCCAUCUGAUGGAGAAGUGUGUGUAUAUUAAGAGCUAAAAGUUAAGAAAGAAAUUAAAAGAGCAUUAAUGGCAUUACAAUUUAUUUUGAGACUUUUCUUCCUAAAUGCUGUUUUACUUAUAAAGUAACUCCUUCACACAUAAAUCUUUAUGACAAAUGGACUGGAAUGUUUCCCAGCAAAAGAAGAACUAUUUUAUGAUGCCACUUGUAAAUUAUAACACAUGUUAUGUAAGAGAACCAAAGUAUUAGCUUUUUAAAAGCCUUGUUAGCAUAAUGAGUUAAUUUGAUACAUAUACAAUUCUGAUUUCUUUGAAAGUGAAGGUUGAUGUGUCUAGGUGAAACUAAGAAAGUGAAUGCUUUGACAAAUGUUCAUUGUUUCUUAUUUAUAGGUAGGUCUCUUCAUGCUUUUGCUGCAUUUCUUCCUCAAAAAAAAGUGUAGUGCUUAAAAUUGUAAUUUAUUCCUUCAGAAAUUUACUUUGCAAACUUAAACUUUAACCAUCUUAGUCAGCAUUAACUCAACCAAGGCAAACUUUUGUCUUCCUUGUUCUCCAAAUGCGUAGAAGCCACCUACUUGCCAGUUCUGUGCUUUGUCCUCUGGAUUUGCUUUUAUCUUCUAGGUGUAUGUAAUGAACUGGCCUAUAAGUAUUGGACAAAGGCCUGAACAUGAUGGUUCUUUUUCAUUUAACUCUAUCCACUAGAAUUCGGUAGUUAUGCUUAUAUUUGGUCAAUUUAAGAUUUGGUUGGAAAUAAGCCUUGACUUGGGAAGACAAAUCAGACAAACUAUGACUCUGUGCUCCCAACUUGCCCUUGAGUCUUUUACCCAAAACGACUCCUGUUACUACUCUUCCCCCUAGCAGUAUCUGAGCAAGGGGAGGAUGAAUGACAGAGACUUAACCUGUAGAGGAUGUGCCAUGAGAGGAAAUGUGCCACCUGACUUACUCUGGGAGAUCAGGGAUUUGCCCACAUGCCACCUGGUUACAGAGCCUGCAUGACUAUCCUCAUACCCAGACUACUCUUGGUCCCCUUAGCAGCUUCUUUUUUCAUCAGAACACUCUUCCUGGAUUGAUGAUACAUUUAUGUAUUGGUGACUAUCUUCUAUGAGAAUGGAAACUCCAUGAGAGCAGGACCUCUGUUGUGUCUUUUCCCAUGUCCAAAGAAUGUAGAAUGGUGCCCAGAAUGGUAUAGAUUCCAAAUAAAUGCCAUUGUAUGAA